GACCAAUUACUAGAGCUCGUGCACAACAACUAAAUUAUCAGGUACUUUCGUUCCUCGGUACUUCAUUUAAUAUUAAUGAGAAUAUGCUGCUGCCUAAGAUGGGUUCUUUUAUGUGUUUUAGGAAUGAAUGACCUAGCUUGCACCUCAAGGAUCAGCGUUGGACAGCAAACCAUGGAGGUGGCAGCAAGGUGGCGGGAGCUAGCUCAAGUGAUGAUUUCAGAACAUUGAAACCGUCAUAACGAGAGAUGAGAAGAAGGCCGCAUCCUCUUCAUCAAUGGGAUUUCGGUCAAGUGGAGGAUUCCCCCUCCAAUGGGUAUCUAUGGGCCAAAGAUGAGGGUUAUAACCUUACUUUAUUGGGCCUAAGGCCAUGUAAUAGGGUCCAGCCAAUUUUUAGAUGUUUUCGUUGUGUUUUAGGAGGAUUCGUAGGCCGUUUCGGAGUCCCUCAAGGGCCUGUCCAAAAACCACCUAGUUCCCCUCCUAUUUAUACCCCAUGAGCGCCCCCAUGGAGCCUUGGGUUUUGAUUAGAUAAAGUUUAGCCUUUGCUACUUUCGUGUAAUCGCGUGUGUUGGUUAGACCACCUGUUUUACCGUCAUCAAGACUCCAACUAUAUUGAAUAUUUAGAUUCGUGAACCUUCAUAUCUCCUAUUCGCAAUUUCAGAUUGCUUUUCAUCUUGUUCUUGCUUGUUCUUCGAUUGCUUGCAGGAAGAAAGACCUUCGUGGUCAGGUUGAUCGUGCCCCCGCGGGAUCAAUAACCUUCUGGAGUUGGUGUAUCGAUCGCUAAGGCGCUGCCUCCUAGGUUGUAGUCGGAUCGUCAACGUCACCUCCUACCAAAUCGAUAAUUAGGUAUCUCAUCGAAAGAUCGGGACACCCUCGAGGCUAUCGCGUGGUAUCAGAGCUUAAGGUUGCUCGGUGAGAUUUUUCCAGUUUAUCCGUAGUUUAGAUCUGUUUUUACCUAUCGUCCAGAAAAAGCCAAAGAAAAAUUAGAAUUAGUUACCUUGUCCUAGAACCAAUCUGAGCCUUGCAAUUUUCACAUUAGUAUUUGCAUUGUUGAAUCUUUGCUGCAUUAAUCGUGUCGAGUUGCUCGAUUAGAUUGGAUCGUUUUUCAGAUUUUUUCUACUAGAUCGAACUUGUUUUUGUCUUUUGAUUUCGUGUGACGCAGGCUUUCCAUCAAACUUCCCGCCACACCACCGAGUCCCUCUUCGAAUCCUACACCGAGUCCCUCGUCGAGUCCUACACCGAGUCCCUCUUCGAAUCCUACACCGAGUCCCUCGUCGAGUCCUACACCGAGUCCCUCUUCGAGUCCUACAUCGAGUCAGCAAGUUAUAGUGUUUCAUAAUAGAUCGAAUUUUGUUUAGAGAUCAAGUUGUUCGGAAAGUUGUGAAAAAAAAAAGAAAGGAAAGAAAAAAAAAGAAAAGAAAGAAAAACAAAACGAAAAAAAAAAGGAAGAGUUCGAGUCAGUUUCGGACCCGAGUCCAAGUAGAAUUAGAGUUUCAGGUGGGUUUGACCCGUGUUCACUAAAACGGCCGUAUCUUUUGCAUACGAAGUCAGAUUUGGACGUUCCAGGACUUUUCGGAAAGCUCUCGACAAGGCGCAUCCUCUAAAAUUAACGGCUCCUUGACCCUCAAAUUCGGCUUCUAAGGUGGACUUUUCGUGCUCCGAAGUUUCUGCACCCGUUUUUCGGCACCGGGGCAGUGCAAUAUAUCUCAGUUUUCUCCACCGUCCGACCUCCGUUUCGAGUGAUCUUGCACUUGUUGGAAAGCUUGUUUUGAUACGCUUCUAACCCAUAUUUUCUCAUAUUUUUCUGAGUUUUCCUUACGACAGCCUUUGCUAUUCUCCUACAGACCGACGUGCAGCUUUCUGGUCUUAACUUCUUUUGCGUUAGUUUCUGGGGAUAAAAAAAACAGAAAAAAAAUAGAAAAAAAUAAGAAGCCAAACAGAAGGCCACAAAAAGAAAAAAAAAAGAGAAAAAAUACUCCCCAGAGAUUUACUUGGUUUACCUUUAAUUUGAUCUUUCCUUUCUACCUUUUUCAGUAUCUAGGCUUAGUUAAUUUCUGUAAUUCGUUCUUAUCGACUCCAGCAGCUAGGACUAGCAUUUUUGAGCAUAUUUUCAACUUUGCAUUGCUGAUUUGAUUAUUCGCUUUUCCUUGCUACUCACAUAAGCCUCCAAGCUCCACAGAUUCUACACCUAGGUUGGUUUGCCUCGAGGCAUCAAUACAUUAAUCUUCGGAGGGCUUGUUCUCGCCGCUGGCCAUCACCUUCCUGUUUGCUGGGUAAGAACGAGUAAGAACUUGAUUAAAAGUUGAGUGGAGUGAUUUUUGAAACCCCACAUCCUAGUAGUGCAUAGGGACUUUUCCUUGUGAUUUUUUUUCUUGUUUUCUCCUAACGAUGGCAGGUUCUGACGAUGAUUUACAAGGCCACUCUCCAGGCACAAAGGGCAUUAUUUCACAUUUUGAUCGCAAGCUUAGGCUUCGUAACGAGGAGCUGGAUGAGGACGUUCGGGUUGCGAAUGAGAGACUUGGAACCUUGGAGAGCGCGCACAUUGAAACAAAUACCAAGCUAACAUGUUUACAGAAUUCUGUUGCUACCAUUAGUACUUCUCUGGCAGAAAUCACGACGCAACUGGCGGCACUUGCUGCAACGACCAUUGCUACACCGGGAGGAAACAAUACACACAACCAGCGGACCGCUAAUAAUGGUACCUUCGCAAGCGAGGUUGAGGAGAACGACGACGACUACUCCGCGGAUACGGAACACGAUGGGGCCGUAAACCAUCACAACGUCCGUGAUCGUCGCCGAACUCGUUUCAACCGCCGAGGUAUGGGACCGACACGACCUCAAAGAGAGGAACAUGACUCGUUGCAUUCUAUUAAACUUAAGGUUCCUCCUUUUGAUGGAAAAUAUGACCCUGAUGCUUACCUUACAAGAAGGGGAGGAUGAUGAGGACAUCCCAAGUAAUGAUACAACCACAGCCCCUACAGCACCUACACCUCAAGUACCGGAGAUACAUGGACCAAUUACUAGAGCUCAUGCACGACAACUAAAUUAUCAGGUACUUUCGUUCCUCGGUACUUCAUUUAAUAUUCAUGAGAAUAUGCUGCUGCCUAAGAUGGGUUCUUUUAUGUGUUUUAGGAAUGAAGGACCUAGCUUGCACCUCAAGGAUCAGCGUUGGACAGCAAACCAUGGAGGUGGCAACAAGGUGGCGGGAGCUAGCUCAAGUGAUGAUUUCAAAACAUUGAAACCGCCAUAACGAGAGAUGAGAAGAAGGCCGCAUCCUCUUCAUCAAUGGGAUUUCGGCAAGUGGAGGAUUCCCCCUCCAAUGGGUAUCUAUGGGCCAAAGAUGAGGGUUAUAACCUUGCUUUAUUG
RNAcentral lists this long non-coding RNA (3363 nucleotides) under Brachypodium distachyon (stiff brome). RNAcentral's name for it is "long non-coding RNA (BDIS_LNC004652)". Lineage: Eukaryota; Viridiplantae; Streptophyta; Magnoliopsida; Poales; Poaceae. The record is from RNAcentral.